Molecule: long non-coding RNA, 1837 nt
Filed under: Strigops habroptila (Kakapo)
Lineage: Eukaryota; Metazoa; Chordata; Aves; Psittaciformes; Psittacidae
Description: lncRNA (ENSSHBG00005008550.1)
Source: RNAcentral
CACCAGUGCGUGCCUCCGACUCCCGCUGGGCUCUGCCCGCCGCCUGUGGGGCCUUUCCGGGCAACGCGCGGCCCCCAGCACGACCCGCCUGCCCGCAGGCCCCGCCGUUCUUCCAGCAGCGCGAACUCCUGCCUGCCCCCGGCUCUGGCUUUACUCACCGAUCCUUUCCAUGCUGUGGCCGCAUUCCCCAGACCCUAUCGGUUCCCAGUGCUGCAUACUUCAAGUGUAGGUGGGGUUUGGUGGCAGCCGCCCCUCCCUCCCCCAGCCAGCCGGUAGCGCUCACGGAGCUCCCCUCCGUGCCCCCAGGCUCCAGGCGUCCCCUGGCUGGCCAGCCACCACAAGUGAUUCCUGGCCGCCUUUCACCUGAACGCCACCAUCUUGACACUGCUAGUAAGAGCCCCAGAGCAAUGAACAUAUGGCAGUUGCUACCAGCACUGGUGUAUUUGCGGCGAUGCCUAUCGAUAUCCACCAGAGAGCAGGGCAGCUCCAAAACCCACAUCUUUUAUGCUGUGGAAAUUGAUGGAUACAGCAACACAGCCAGCUUCUUGGCCAAACAACAUGGAAUGCAGUUCAUUUCAAAGAUCUUGUACAGAAGGAAAAUGAGAUGCCUGGUGAAGCCUACAAUGUCAUUGACUCUGAAGAAGGACUCAGAGACCUAUUGGUGUUUAAUGACCCUUAUUGGCCUCCACAAAAGAAACUGUGACCUGAUAAACAUGAAGCUUCCUCUUCCCUAAGAAGCAGCAAACAAUACUGGAGUGUGCAUGAUGAUUUGUAGAAUCCUGUAUCCCACACAAUCUGGGAGUUUGCAAUAAUCUACUAUGUCUUUCUCCACUACAAUACAAAAUCCUGGCUGUUGAAAGAAAACAUUUAGUGCAAGAGUUUUCUGGAGAACUGCCUCUCUGCAAAUAAUAGGUAAUAACAUGUAGGCAGUAUGAAACACAUAAUCGUCAUAAUGUGUCACUGAGACUCAAAUCUGGGUUAAGAAAUAUUUUAUCCACCACAGUUGUAUGAAAACUCCAUCCAAAUAUUACAGAAAAGGUAAUAAAAGUUGAUGAUUUCUGAAUUUUAGGCAUUUAUAAGAAAUAAUUAACCUUCAGAAACCAUUCCAUUUUCUGUUAAAAUUAUUUUAGCAUUUGCAUUUAAAAGAGCAACUUUUUCCAAUUUGAAAGAGUCAAUAUUCUUCAUUUUCUUACUUGCAAAUUACUGUUUGAAUUUUUAAAACAAAAAGGUUUCUCAGCCAGCUAUUGGUAUUGCUGACAUGUGGCUUUUGUUUCAGUAUCUUAGAGUACUUAGAUGACAGCUGGGAUGUUCACAGUCUGGGCAGUAGCACAUUUUCAAUCGUAACUGGAAAGCUAGCAGAGACUUCAUGCACUCUUUUUCUGGGCAACUGAUUUUUUUUUUUUUUUUUUAAUGAAGAAUUGGUGUGCUGUAAAAUGAUACUUCACAGCAGAGAUAAUUGUUGUGGGUGAGUAAAAUGUUGGUUCUCAAUUACCCAAUACUAUAGAAAAGCAAAGUUGCAAACUAAACAGCCAGAUUAAGACUAACAAUCUAACAGGAACCUGACUCACAGUAACACACAAGAACUGCCCUGCCAUGUCUUGAUAUAUAUAGAGAGAAUUAAGCAGAGAGUGACAACUUAACUCGGAAUUUGUUUUCUUUUUCCUCUGUCAAAUUUGUUAAGUUUCGCUUAACCCUUCAAUGCUGCCAACUGGUGUUUUGUCAGCUACAGUUUUAGGAGAAUGUCAGCACAUUCUCAAUGAUUUUGGUUGCCAUGGAUAAGUGUAUUUGAUUUUUUUCUGGAACACUGUGUAUUAAUAAACAAAGUACUUUGUUAUGC